AUGAGGAGAAAAUUAAGAGGCAUGGAGGAGAGGUGGGCGAGCGGGAAGGGCUGGGGCGUCGCCCACGACAUCGAGCUUGACGGCGGCCUUGCGGCGGCACAGUCGGCGAGGAGCUGUCGGAUCUCGCAGGAUCCGGUGGGAAAUGGAGCGCUGGCGGCAGAUCUGAAGGCGGCCGGAGCUUGGAGCACGACGGCUGGCGGGCGCGGCAUGGCCGACGCUGAUGAGAGAAGAGAGAGAUGA
This 240-nucleotide ribosomal RNA is filed under the name Triticum aestivum (bread wheat). RNAcentral's name for it is "partial small subunit ribosomal RNA". The record is from RNAcentral. Lineage: Eukaryota; Viridiplantae; Streptophyta; Magnoliopsida; Poales; Poaceae.